Molecule: ribosomal RNA, 811 nt
Filed under: Lithocalla ecorticata
Lineage: Eukaryota; Fungi; Ascomycota; Lecanoromycetes; Lecanorales; Ramalinaceae
Description: SSU rRNA
Rfam family: Bacterial small subunit ribosomal RNA
Source: RNAcentral
UAUGGUCAAUAGCCUAACGGCUGAACCAGCAACUUGGAGGAAUCUAUAGCGAAAGCUAGUUGUGCCACAUGGUGCAAUAUCGACUUAGUCGAAUAAAGUUCGGAACAGACUUAUGAUUAUGACAUUAUCUGUUUUUGUGUCUUGACCAAAUUACGUGCCAGCAGUCGCGGUAAUACGUAGAAGACUAGUGUUAUUCAUCUUUAAUAGGUUUAAAGGGUACCUAGACGGUAGACCAAGCCCUCCUAGGGAGACGGGACUAGUUUGCUAGAGUUACUUGUGAGGGGGCUAUGAAGUACUAAUGGUGUAGAGAUGAAAUUUUGUGAUACCAUUUUUCGUAAGAAAAGUUAUGGCACUGGUAAAGGCGAAAGCAUCCCCUUAUGUGAUAACUGACGUUGAGGGACGAAGGCUCCGGGUCGCGAAUAGGAUUAGAUACCCUAGUAGUCGAAGCAGAAAAUGAUGAGUGUCAUAGAUUAGAGUAACUUUAUUCUAUAAAUGAAAGUGUAAGCACUCCACCUCAAGAGUAAUUUGGCAACAUUGGAACUGAAAUCAUUAGACCGUUUCUGAAACCAGUAGUGAAGUAUGUUGUUUAAUUUGAUAAUCCGCAAAAAACCUUACCACAACUUGAAUAUUUGUACAUUUUAUACACUUACAAGCGUUGCACGGCUGUCUUCAGUUAAUGUCGUGAGACUUUGGUUAGAUCCAUUAAAUUAACGCAAGCCCUUACUUUAUUUAUAAAUAAAGUAGUUCCCCACUAUAUUGGAUAUGAUAACAGGGACUAAGACAAGUCAUCAUGGCCUUAAUGUUGUGGGCU